AGUUAAUUAGCUUAUAAAUAAAGCAUUUACUUUGAAAGUAAGGAAAAGAAUUUAUUCUAUUAACUU
RNAcentral lists this transfer RNA (66 nucleotides) under Magicicada cassinii (seventeen-year cicada). Its description in RNAcentral is "Magicicada cassini (seventeen-year cicada) tRNA-Ser". RNAcentral also lists the same sequence under 1 other name. The record is from RNAcentral. Lineage: Eukaryota; Metazoa; Arthropoda; Insecta; Hemiptera; Cicadidae.